GCUGUGCUAGGCUGUUGCUCCCGCUGGAGUGUAGUUUCCUCUAGUACCCCCGCCCCCCGCACCCGGUUGGCCGCUGGGAACUCGGUAGGGACGCCAGGUCUGGAUCAAGGUUUGCUGCGGUACUCCUCCUACCUAUACCUGGAGAAGCAUGCCUUGGCUGGUUCUCAAUCCCAGAAUGCUGAGAGACACAUGUAGCAGAGCCACUGCAGCUGGCCCAGGAACCUGAAGUAAGAAGCAGAUCCAGCCAGGUAAGCCCAGCCUCAGUCCUAGCUGAGCCAACCCACAGACUCAUUGGAAAAAAAAAAAAAAAAAGAUUGUUCCUUUAAGCCACUGAGUCUUGGGGUCAUUUGUUAUUCAGAAAUAUUGUGCCAAAGUUAAUUAAUACAUUGCAAAAUAAAUGGUGGUGUGUUGAGAAGGAGGAGGAGAGUGGAGAUGGGCAUCCUUUUCUGGCUGUCUCCCUGGUUCUCCAUAAUCUAUGGAAAGGUAGCUAUCAGGCAAUGGCUGGCCUGCCUAGUGGUUGGCUGUCUUCCUUGAGUAGGUGAAAUUUGCUAGAAAAUUCAGAGCAAGUUCACUCAGUUUGAGGGGUGAGAAGCUAUUAUUUAUGGUUGAUAAUUCUUCAAAACCUGAAAAUAACUAAGCAAAACUUGGCCAUUGAUAUCAAUUUAUGAUUGCCUCUGCUUCUUUUAUUCUGAAAGAUCAUGUAAGCUCCUUCAUUUUUAAGGGUAAUUUCAAACAUUCUUUUGUCUAGUCCAGUGCUAGGUAAUACAGGAAUUUAGUAAAUUCUACUAAAGGACUAUGUUAAAAGUUCUUGGGUUGCAAGUCCUAAGUGUCAGAAUCUGGAUAAUCAGUUGAAUACUCAAACCUUUUUUCCAAACCACCUCCAAUUUCAACCAAAAGCUUCCUAAUUCCUUCUUGCCAAACUUUCUUACCCUCAGAAUAUUGGAUUAAUAGCAUGUGAUAUCUAAAGAUAGAUGAUGAUGUAGUGAAUGCCGAGAUUUUGAAUGAUAUAAUCUCACAGCACCAAUACCCCAGUUAGGAAAUCUAGGCACCUUUACUUACAGAGACUGAAGACUAAUUGCCUCAACAAGCAUACCCGAAAAUGUGUGAUUGAUUGGUAUCAAUGAGCAGUUUAAAUCUCUUAGGUCAAUGGUAUUUUUCCCAACUGUCCUCUCACUCUUAUCUCAGAAAAAUCUCUUUCUGUCAUACAGGAUUAUAAAGUUUAGGUGAUGACUAGAUACCCAAGGGGAAGUGUCCUGUCACACCACUUGGACUGCAUUGAAGACUUGCAUCUAGAAAAUAAAAUAAUAGUGAUGACGAUGAUGAUAACACCUAGACUAUUUGCUGAACUUAGGAUCAACAAGCACUGUGCUAAGUGUUUUAUUUGCCUUAUCUUAUUUAAACCACAUAACAAUUCUGAAGGAGUGAUUAUUAUUCACCCCAAGGAUGUUAAGUCACUUGCAGUUAACAAGUAGCUGACAUGAGAUUUGGACUCUGGCCCGUCAGACUCCUUGAUCAUUAUUCUUCACUACCUUGGCGGGAGGUGUUAGUUGAAAGCAUGGUUUUGGAUAUUCUCUUAAAAGACUAGGACAUUUUCCCCCCACUUACUUGUCUUUUCCACAAGUAAAGUGUAGUCUUAGCCUUCCUUUCUCCAGUUUUGUCUUGAUAGAACUCCAAAAACACUCGACAGCUUCCAUAUGUCAACUGGGUGACCCCUGUGUUUUUCUAUUUAUGUUUCCUCUUUCAAUUCAACUCAAGGGCCACAACACUGAAGCCUUCAAGCAGGAUGGGUUUAUGGAAGAAACAGAGAAAAAUCUAAUUUGUUACCAAGAACUUCGUAAGGCAACAGACAUAAAACUAUUGUGGCCUUACCCAAAUGAAUGCCU
RNAcentral lists this long non-coding RNA (1883 nucleotides) under Sus scrofa (pig). Its description in RNAcentral is "lncRNA (ENSSSCG00000057934.1)". Lineage: Eukaryota; Metazoa; Chordata; Mammalia; Artiodactyla; Suidae. The record is from RNAcentral.